GUAGUUGGAUUCGCAUCAAUCCACAUGUGUUGGGGUGGAUUGGUGUGGAAUUUAGAUUAAAUUCCACUCUAAUCCACCCCAACACAUGUAGAUUGAGGUGAAUCCGACA
Molecule: microRNA precursor, 109 nt
Organism: Sorghum bicolor (sorghum)
Lineage: Eukaryota; Viridiplantae; Streptophyta; Magnoliopsida; Poales; Poaceae
Rfam family: MIR5565 microRNA precursor family
Source: Rfam